This 239-nucleotide ribosomal RNA is filed under the name uncultured bacterium. Its description in RNAcentral is "partial 16S ribosomal RNA". It matches the Rfam family "Bacterial small subunit ribosomal RNA", at positions 109 to 334 of the family's 1533-position model. The record is from RNAcentral.
AGUAACGCGUAAGUAAUCUACCCUCGCAUUUGGGAUAACCCACCGAAAGGUGUGCUAAUACCGGAUACGUCUAUUUUAAUAUCUUUUUUAUAGAGAAAGGUGGCCUCUGAUUCAAGCUACUGUGCGGGGAGGAGCUUGCGUACCAUUAGCUAGUUGGUAGGGUAAUGGCCUACCAAGGCAACGAUGGUUAGCGGGUCUGAGAGGAUGAUCCGCCACACUGGAACUGAAACACGGACCAG